GGUUUGAUUAUGGCUCAGAUUGAACGCUGGCGUGGAUGCUUUACACAUGCAAGCUUGAACGGCAGCACGGACUUCCGGUCUGGUGGCGAGUGGCGAACGGGUAUAAUGACGGAACGUCAAAUAGCGGGGGGAUAACUACGCGAAAGCGCUGGCUCGCAUACGCCCUUCGGGGGAAAGCGGGGACCUUCUCUUCGCCUCGCACCAUUAGAGCGGCCGAUAUCGGAUUAGCUAGUUGGUAGGGUAACUGCUCACCAAGGCGAUCGAUCCGGUAGCCGGUUUGAGAGGACGACCAGCCACACUGGACUGAGACACGGCCCAGAAUUCGGCCGGGGAGGCAGCAGUGGGGAAUUUUGACAAUGGGGAAACCUCGAUCCGUUUCAUCCUGCGUGUGCGACAGAAGGCCUUCGGGUUGUAAAGCACUUUGGCAGGAAAGAAACGGCACGGAUAAUACCUCGUGCAAACUGACGGUACCUGCAGACGAAGCACCGCUAAUCACGCCAGCAGCCGCAGGGAUACGUAGGUGCAAGCGUUAACGGAAUUACUGGACGUAAAGCGUGCGGCGGUUCGGAGAAAGAUGUGAAAUCCCAGAGCUUAACUGAACCGCAUUUUAAUCAUCGGAGUUAGAGGUCAGAGGGAGGAGGGUGGAAUUCCGCGUAAGGGUGAAACGUAGAUAUGAGGAACACCGAUGGCGAAGGCAGCCUCCUGAUAACACUGACGCUCAUGCACGAAAGCGUGGGGAGCAAACAGGAUUAGAUACCCCUGGUAGUCCACGCCCUAAACGAUGUCAACUAGCUGUUAAAUUUUCAAAUUAUGGUAGCGCAGCGACCAUAAAGCUGACCGCCUGGGAGUACGGUCGCAAGAUUAAAACCAGCGAAUUGACGGGACCGCACAAGCAGGAUGAUGUGGAUUAAUCGAUGCAACGCGAAAACCCUACCUACCCUUGACAUGUCUGGAAUCCCGAAGAGAUUGGAGUGCUCGCAAGAGAACCGGAACAGGUGCUGCAUGGCUGUCGUCAGCUCGUGUCGAGAGAUGCUGCUGAAGUCCCGCAACGAGCGCAACCCCUUGUCAACAGUUGCUACGAAAGGGCACUCUAAUGAGACUGCCGCGACAACCCGGAGGAAGGUGAUGACGUCGUCUCUAUGGCCCUUAUGGUAGGGGCUUCACACGUCAUACACGGUCGGGACAGAGGGCUUCAACCCGCGAGGGGAGCCAAUCCUGCGAAACCUGAUCGUAGUCCGGAUCGCAGUUCGCAACUGACUGCGUGAAGUCGGAAUCGCCAGUAGACUGCGGAUCAGUACGUCGCGGUGAAUACGUUCCCGGGUUCCACACACCGCCCGUCACACCAUGUGAGUGGGUUUUACCAGAAGAUAGUUAGCCUAACCGUAAGGGGAGGGCGAUUACCACGGUAGGAUCUUGACUGGGGUGAAGUCGCGCGCGUAA
This 1440-nucleotide ribosomal RNA is filed under the name uncultured Bordetella sp. RNAcentral's name for it is "partial 16S-23S ribosomal RNA intergenic spacer". It matches the Rfam family "Bacterial small subunit ribosomal RNA". The record is from RNAcentral. Lineage: Bacteria; Pseudomonadati; Pseudomonadota; Betaproteobacteria; Burkholderiales; Alcaligenaceae.